GGGGCUGAGAAAAGCGCCAUUCAGACUGCGCCCGGAGAAGCCUUGAAGCAACGCCGAAGGACGCGGGUUCGAUUCCCGCCACCUCCA
Molecule: transfer RNA, 87 nt
Filed under: Kribbella solani
Lineage: Bacteria; Bacillati; Actinomycetota; Actinomycetes; Propionibacteriales; Kribbellaceae
Description: tRNA-OTHER
Source: RNAcentral